Molecule: non-coding RNA, 74 nt
Organism: Triticum aestivum (bread wheat)
Lineage: Eukaryota; Viridiplantae; Streptophyta; Magnoliopsida; Poales; Poaceae
Source: Rfam
AAGGAUGUAGCGCAGCUUGGUAGCGUGUUUGCUUUGGGUACAAAACGUCACGGGUUCAAAUCCUAUCAUCCCUG